UGUUCCCUUCUGACGAGCAGAAAUCCACACGCACACUCACACACCCAUGACUUCAAUGGCACAAGCUACACACAAUACAAGGACGCACGAUCUGAUAUCACCAAGUAAUUAAGAGUCCUGGAUCAAUGUGCAAGUUGUUUGUCCAGGGUCAAUGUCAUUUCCAACCAAUCAGCGGUCAUGUGUGACUGAUGAUGUCAUUUAGAGUGCGACGUGACAAUUUCAAACGGAAAGCGCGCUCAGAAAUGCUCAGAAGAAGCAGAACUAGCAAAACGGAGAGGUGCUACAGCAGUGUUCCUGACUGUUGCCGUGUAAUGACAUUUUCAAAGAAACAGGUAAGACUAUUUCUCGAAAAAAAUUAUAUCCUAUGUGCCAUCUCCACCGAAUUUCUCUAUUUUAAUCACUUUUAUUAUAUAAAUUUUUAUAUAGUAAGCAAAUUGUGUGUUGUUCGAUAUGAUCAGUCAGUAGGCUACACGGAGGUUACUGUUAGCUAGCAUGAAACGGCUAAGAGGGCUCUUUCCCGUUACAGUAUGUUCAAGAAUAACACAAAGACGUUAGGUCUCCACCGAAUUUCUCUAUUUUAAUCACUUUUAGUACUAUGUACAUUUUUAGGGGUAAGCAAAUUGUGUGUUCGAUAUGAUCAGUCAGUACACGGACGUUACUGUUAGCUAGCAUGAAACGGCUAAGAGUAUGGGGCUCUUUCCCGUUACAAUAUGUUCAAGAAUAACACAAAGACGUUAGGUCAGUGCAGCAAAGCCUACGUUCUUUAUUUUAUCUGUAAUGAUUUGUGCAUAAAAUUGACAAUAUGUCAGCAAAGAUUUCAAACCGGUUAAAACGGAAAGCGUUACGGAUCCAGGAUUAUUGUUCGUAACCAGUCCAGGACAAACACAUAGGCUACUCACUUUUCUCUUGCUAUAUUAAUCCAGGAUUAUUGUUUGUAAUAGGUCCAGGACAAACACACAUUCACUUGCCUGUCUCUGAUUAAGUAUUAAUCCAGGAUUGUUGUUAGUAAUCGGUCCAGGACAAACACACACUCACUUGCCUCUUAUUAAGUAUUAAUCCAGGAUUAUUGUUCGUAACCAGUCCAGGACAAACACAUACUCACUUUUCUCUUACUAGGCUAUAUUAAUCCAGGAUUAUUGUUUGUUAUCGUUCCAGGACAAACACACACUCACUUGCCUCUUAUUAAGUAUUAAUCCAGGAUUAUUGUUUGUAAUAGGUCCAGGACAAACACACAUUCACAUGCCUCUGAUUAAGUAUUAAUCCAGGAUUGUUGUUAGUAAUCGGUCCAGGACAAACACACAUUCACAUGCCUCUGAUUAAGUAUUAAUCCAGGAUUAUUGUUUGUAAUAGGUCCAGGACAAACACACAUUCACAUGCCUCUGAUUAAGUAUUAAUCCAGGAUUGUUGUUAGUAAUCGGUCCAGGACAAACACACACUCACUUGCCUCUUAUUAAGUAUUAAUCCAGGAUUAUUGUUCGUAACCAGUCCAGGACAAACACAUACUCACUUUUCUCUUACUAGGCUAUAUUAAUCCAGGAUUAUUGUUUGUUAUCGUUCCAGGACAAACACACACUCACUUGCCUCUUAUUAAGUAUUAAUCCAGGAUUAUUGUUUGUAAUAGGUCCAGGACAAACACACAUUCACAUGCCUCUGAUUAAGUAUUAAUCCAGGAUUGUUGUUAGUAAUCGGUCCAGGACAAACACACAUUCACAUGCCUCUGAUUAAGUAUUAAUCCAGGAUUAUUGUUUGUAAUAGGUCCAGGACAAACACACAUUCACAUGCCUCUGAUUAAGUAUUAAUCCAGGAUUGUUGUUAGUAAUCGGUCCAGGACAAACACACACUCACUUGCCUCUUAUUAAGUAUUAAUCCAGGAUUAUUGUUCGUAACCAGUCCAGGACAAACACAUACUCACUUUUCUCUUACUAGGCUAUAUUAAUCCAGGAUUAUUGUUUGUUAUCGUUCCAGGACAAACACACACUCACUUGCCUCUUAUUAAGUAUUAAUCCAGGAUUAUUGUUUGUAAUAGGUCCAGGACAAACACACAUUCACAUGCCUCUGAUUAAGUAUUAAUCCAGGAUUGUUGUUAGUAAUCGGUCCAGGACAAACACACACUCACUUGCCUCUUAUUAAGUAUUAAUCCAGGAUUAUUGUUCGUAACCAGUACAGGACAAACACAUACUCACUUUUCUCUAACUAGGCUAUAUUAAUCCAGGAUUAUUGUUUGUAAUUGUUCCAGGACAAACACACUCACUUGCCUCUUACUAAAUAUUAAUCCAGGAUUAUUGUUGGUAAUUGUUUCAGGACAAACAUUUUGAUGUAUUUUUUUAAGUUGUUUACUCCUCUUGUUAAGUAGUAUGACUUAUUUUUCCUGAAAUUUAGCAUUGUUUUUGCCAAGACAAAUACAAUUUGAUUUAGUCCAAUUUUAUUGUAUUUUUUUCCCCCCAGAGUUGCCCAGUGUUAAAGAUGGCAGAACUCUCCAUUUGGUCUCUCAAACACUGGUGAAGAUCCUGGAAAGCUCCUCUCGAGCCAGGAAUGCUUACUUUAGGAAGAUAAACAUUUUUAAGGAAAAGGUGAUGGUUGAGGCCUUUCUUGAGAAUGGUAACCACUGGAACCUUUUUGUAAGUAACUAUGUAAUAUACUGUGUCACAACCACCGGGCUCAAGGUAGCCGUGACAUUAAGGAUGGGGACCACACUGUAGCUAAAGGUUUUAAAUAUUAUAUUUAUUGAAACAUUAAAAAGGGUAAAGUCAGUAUAUGAUAAAGAAAAGUGUAAUGCAAAGUGUCUAGGGGUGAUCAAACAAAGAGUGUAAAAACGCGACGUCUAGGUGCAAGCUGGCAACGGGUUGCGGCUCUCCCCAGAGGAGCAGCCAUCGAGCGCAGAGAGCAGGCCCAAGCGAAGGGCAGAGAGCAGAGCCAAGACCAGAGAGAACGCGUCCAUUCAUCCUUGUUAUAUAGCACCACCCAUUACUCCAAACACCAAUGGGGUCCUUGCUCUGCAAAUCAGGGAAACAGAUUCAAGGGGCAGAGCCCACACAGGCAUUAGACCAGAGGGCGCAACCCCAGGACUGACCAGCAGGGUCUUAACAACUGUAUAUUAGUAAUUUAUUGAUCCAUACAAUUCAUGCCCAACUAAUACGUUUUCUUUUGUAUGCAGAUAUUACUGGGAAAAGAGUUAUAUAUAUAUAUAUAUGAACUCCCUUGGGGAAUCUAAAGAGAGGGUGGCGACCAUAGUUCAAAACUGGAGUUCAUUUGCUGAAUGAUGGGGAUGUCAUGGCCCCUGGACACCGGUAUCCAUAAAGCAUCCCCUGCAGAUAGAUGGGAAGUCAUGUGGCGUUCAUUUUGUUAUGUAUGCCCAGGCCAUAUUGACAGGGGAUGCUCUUCAGCAGAGCCGUGUUUUGGAUUUUGGACCCAUUAUGCAAUUAAGACAACAGAUGUGCAAGGAUCUCUUUAAUGCAACAGACAGAACACAGACAUGCAGUAACUGCCUGAACCCAGUGAGCACUGCAAACAAGGUUUGGGGAUCACCAAAGAAAUGGCAGAAAAAACAAAACAGACCCUCCACAAGAUGAAGGAAAAUGCCAACUCUACAUAUGAUGUUAAAGAGACCCUAUGCAACUUUCUGCAGGAGACGAUCGCUCUUUGUUACAUCUGGAAGUCUGAGACGAAGAACCACGCUUGCAAUUUAUAUAUUUAAAUAUAGCCUAUACAUGUAUAAAUAUACACGCUAAAGCUGUCGGGGAAGCUCUGCAGAGAAAAUGCAAGCAUAAAACGAGCGAAAACAAACAACGAAACCGAAACCAGAGAUGAAAUCGCCAGUCCUGCAUAGUUCCUCUUUAACUCAUCAUUUAGUUUAGAAACACACACAUUUGGGGCACAAGCCUUGAGCUUUGUCAUUGAGUUUUUCAUUGAAAAGGUAAACAACUUGCUUUAGAUUUUAUCAUUAAAAUCUAAUGAUAGCUUA
This is a long non-coding RNA of Sardina pilchardus (European sardine), 3961 nucleotides long. RefSeq lists it as uncharacterized. The transcript is spliced from 8 exons. Lineage: Eukaryota; Metazoa; Chordata; Actinopteri; Clupeiformes; Clupeidae. The record is from RefSeq and is a predicted model, not a curated record.